Molecule: long non-coding RNA, 268 nt
Filed under: Elaeis guineensis (African oil palm)
Lineage: Eukaryota; Viridiplantae; Streptophyta; Magnoliopsida; Arecales; Arecaceae
Description: long non-coding RNA (EGUI_LNC010082)
Source: RNAcentral
ACGAUAUUAGAUACCUAUAGUGAAGACAUUCUUCACCUACUAUUCCUCAACCAUUCCUUUAAGUUCGAUCAUUUUUUUAAAAAUAUCUUAAGCAAUGAAUGUAAAGAUGCAAAUGUGUAUAUAAGAAUAUAAAAAGGACUACUCAUAAUAACAUGCACAAGCUAGAUCAGGAUUUUUAUUUAAUUAUGUCUCCCACUAAUUUAAUAAAUUUCAUAGCCCUCAAGUAUGAAAUUGAGGAAUCUUAUCAUAAUGAUCCUUAAUGGGGCUG